This 73-nucleotide transfer RNA is filed under the name Actinobacteria bacterium IMCC25003. Its description in RNAcentral is "tRNA-Ala". It matches the Rfam family "tRNA". Rfam says of the family: Transfer RNA (tRNA) molecules are approximately 80 nucleotides in length. Their secondary structure includes four short double-helical elements and three loops (D, anti-codon, and T loops). RNAcentral also lists the same sequence under 7 other names. The record is from RNAcentral. Lineage: Bacteria; Bacillati; Actinomycetota.
GGGGAUAUGGCGCAAUUGGUAGCGCGCUUCCAUGGCAUGGAAGAGGUUAGGGGUUCGAUUCCCCUUAUCUCCA